UUGUGUUCACAACAUUUCACUGAUGACUGCUUUUCUAAUCUCGCUGUUUGGACUCUCAUUCUGACGGCACCCAUUCACUGCAAAGGAUCCAUUGAUGAGCAAGUGAUGUAAUGGUACAUUUCUUCAAAUCUGCUCAAUCAGUUCAACUCGGGAAACGGUGCCUAUCACAGCCUGCAGACUGGAGCCAUGUGAAUCACGGUGGGGAUUUUCAUCAGAUCAUUGCCACACAGAAUGUCCAGCAUUUGCUUCCAACUUUUGAAGGAUCAAAUUGACAUCGGCGCAAAUUGAAUGAGAGGUUUGGAGCAAAACCAUCAUGCUAGAGGUUUGUACAGGAACCGAGCCGUGACUGGAAACCAUCGUAUCAUAGCUGUACCACUUAGAGCAAAAUCAAACUGAACAUACACACAACUGUAACAAUGAGAAAACACUUUUGAGACUUUGACCAGGGAUGGUAUGUUUUGUCAUGUUCUUAUCAUUAAACCAACUAUCAUCAUCACUGUACACAGACAACAAAAAGAACAAAACCAAACGUGUGUUAUCAUGACAAACAGGAAUUCCAGAUAAGAGCUUUCAGAGAAUUUGCAAUCAAGAUACAAAUAUUUAACCGAAAAAAAAUUAUACCAAAGCUCUUCAUUCAAUACACUGAUAAUCACAGGACUAAAUGUUCACUAGCAGUAUGGAUUUUAACCUAAAUAUAGCAUAAAUGAAACUAAAUUACUAAUUACCUUUUAUUACAGGGAAUUUAACACUAUUUUUAUAUUUUUGGGUGUAAAAUUUGAGGAAAAUAUUGUAAAUUGUGUAAAAUUCUCUGUAAAAAUAAAUAUGUUGACAUUACUACAGGUAACAAUUACACAAAGUUAGUGCAAUAAAAAAAUAAGGAGAAAAAUAAUAUUUUUCUUUUUUUUUAUCAUAAUUUCUGUGGUAAUUCAAGUGUUUUUUUUUUUUGUUUGUUUUUUUUUUACUUGCAAAAUUCAUACAGUAACAAUAAAAUUGCAAAUACAUAAACGAUUUACAGUUUUUCACCAUAUAUGGUAUGUUAACCUAGAGCUUUUGAUGGCCUUUACCCUUUUGUAAAAGGAUAGUUCAUUAAAUUCAUUAAAAAGGGUAGUUCACCUAAAACUACUUUUUUUUCACUCAUGCCGUUUUAAAUACAUAUUCUUGUAUUUUGAAGCGGAAAGGACAAAUUUCACACUUCUCUUUUUCUGUACAAUGACUCUAAUUUUGGCCAAGGCCAGCAUGUUUUGUGUCGUAAUGUGUUCGUAUCACGAGUUGCAUUUUAUAGGACUGGAUUAGCUUUUUUGUGCUACACAAAGCUUACUCAGGUUUACACAAGAAAAAAUGUGUAAUAUACCUCAUGAAACUAAACUACUGAUUUGAUAUAUCAAAAAAGCCAGUCAUUUUAAACACAGUGAAGCAGAAUAAACCUGAAAUCUUCUACUCCA
This is a long non-coding RNA of Carassius auratus (goldfish), 1442 nucleotides long. RefSeq lists it as uncharacterized. NCBI's taxonomy places the organism in Eukaryota, Metazoa, Chordata, Actinopteri, Cypriniformes, Cyprinidae. The transcript is spliced from 3 exons. The record is from RefSeq and is a predicted model, not a curated record.